RNAcentral lists this ribosomal RNA (329 nucleotides) under Klebsiella pneumoniae. Its description in RNAcentral is "bacterial SSU rRNA". It matches the Rfam family "Bacterial small subunit ribosomal RNA", at positions 1205 to 1533 of the family's 1533-position model. Lineage: Bacteria; Pseudomonadati; Pseudomonadota; Gammaproteobacteria; Enterobacterales; Enterobacteriaceae. The record is from RNAcentral.
CGACCAGGGCUACACACGUGCUACAAUGGCAUAUACAAAGAGAAGCGACCUCGCGAGAGCAAGCGGACCUCAUAAAGUAUGUCGUAGUCCGGAUUGGAGUCUGCAACUCGACUCCAUGAAGUCGGAAUCGCUAGUAAUCGUAGAUCAGAAUGCUACGGUGAAUACGUUCCCGGGCCUUGUACACACCGCCCGUCACACCAUGGGAGUGGGUUGCAAAAGAAGUAGGUAGCUUAACCUUCGGGAGGGCGCUUACCACUUUGUGAUUCAUGACUGGGGUGAAGUCGUAACAAGGUAACCGUAGGGGAACCUGCGGUUGGAUCACCUCCUUA